Molecule: ribosomal RNA, 459 nt
Filed under: uncultured Lactobacillus sp.
Lineage: Bacteria; Bacillati; Bacillota; Bacilli; Lactobacillales; Lactobacillaceae
Description: partial 16S ribosomal RNA
Rfam family: Bacterial small subunit ribosomal RNA
Source: RNAcentral
ACGGAAGGCAGCAGUAGGGAAUCUUCCACAAUGGACGCAAGUCUGAUGAAGCAACGCCGCGUGACUGAAGAAGGCCUUCGGGUCGUAGAAUUCUGUUGUUAGAGAAGAACAUGCAGGAGAGUAACUGUUCUUGUAUUGACGGUAUCUAACCAGAAAGCCACGGCUAACUACGUGCCAGCAGCCGCGGUAAUACGUAGGUGGCAAGCGUUGUCCGGAUUUAUUGGGCGUAAAGGGAACGCAGGCGGUUUUUUAAGGCUGAUGUGAAAGCCUUCGGCUCAACCGAAGAAUUGCAUUGGAAACUGGAAGACUUGAGUGCAGAAGAGGAGAGUGGAACUCCAUGUGUAGCGGUGGAAUGCGUAGAUAUAUGGAAGAACACCAGUGGCGAAAGCGGCUCUCUGGUCUGUAACUGACGCUGAGGUUCGAAAGCGUGGGUAGCAAACAGGAUUAGAUACCCUGGUA